GAGUUUGAUCCUGGCUCAGGAUGAACGCUGGCGGCGUGCUUAACACAUGCAAGUCGAACGAACCUUCGGGUUAGUGGCGGACGGGUGAGUAACGCGUGAGAAUCUGCCCUCAGGAGGGGGAUAACGGCUGGAAACGGCCGCUAAUACCCCAUAUGCCGCGAGGUGAAAUGAAUUUCGCCUGAGGAUGAGCUCGCGUCUGAUUAGCUAGUUGGUGGGGUAAGAGCCUACCAAGGCACCGAUCAGUAGCUGGUCUGAGAGGAUGAUCAGCCACACUGGGACUGAGACACGGCCCAGACUCCUACGGGAGGCAGCAGUGGGGAAUUUUCCGCAAUGGGCGAAAGCCUGACGGAGCAACGCCGCGUGAGGGAUGAAGGCCUCUGGGCUGUAAACCUCUUUUAUCAAGGAAGAAGAUCUGACGGUACUUGAUGAAUAAGCCACGGCUAAUUCCGUGCCAGCAGCCGCGGUAAUACGGGAGUGGCAAGCGUUAUCCGGAAUUAUUGGGCGUAAAGCGUCCGCAGGCGGUUUUGUAAGUCUGUUGUUAAGGCGUGGAGCUUAACUCCAUUUCAGCAAUGGAAACUGCAAGACUAGAGUGUGGUAGGGGCAGAGGGAAUUCCCGGUGUAGCGGUGAAAU
RNAcentral lists this ribosomal RNA (631 nucleotides) under uncultured bacterium. RNAcentral's name for it is "bacterial SSU rRNA". It matches the Rfam family "Bacterial small subunit ribosomal RNA", at positions 9 to 687 of the family's 1533-position model. The record is from RNAcentral.